This 102-nucleotide microRNA precursor is filed under the name Chlorocebus sabaeus (green monkey). RNAcentral's name for it is "miRNA (ENSCSAG00000021668.1)". The record is from RNAcentral. Lineage: Eukaryota; Metazoa; Chordata; Mammalia; Primates; Cercopithecidae.
UGAGGCAGGAGAAUUGCUUGAACCCAGGAGGCGGAGGUUGCAGUGAGCCAAGAUCGUGCCACUGUACUCCAGCCUGGGUGACAACAGCGAGACUCCAUCUCA